UUUAAUUACCCAAGUUUGAGUAAUUUCCAGUAUAAAUCCG
Molecule: unclassified non-coding RNA, 40 nt
Filed under: Caenorhabditis elegans
Lineage: Eukaryota; Metazoa; Nematoda; Chromadorea; Rhabditida; Rhabditidae
Source: RNAcentral